This 1018-nucleotide ribosomal RNA is filed under the name Escherichia coli. Its description in RNAcentral is "partial 23S ribosomal RNA". It matches the Rfam family "Bacterial large subunit ribosomal RNA", at positions 890 to 1890 of the family's 2925-position model. The record is from RNAcentral. Lineage: Bacteria; Pseudomonadati; Pseudomonadota; Gammaproteobacteria; Enterobacterales; Enterobacteriaceae.
UCAUCUCCGGGGGUAGAGCACUGUUUCGGCAAGGGGGUCAUCCCGACUUACCAACCCGAUGCAAACUGCGAAUACCGGAGAAUGUUAUCACGGGAGACACACGGCGGGUGCUAACGUCCGUCGUGAAGAGGGAAACAACCCAGACCGCCAGCUAAGGUCCCAAAGUCAUGGUUAAGUGGGAAACGAUGUGGGAAGGCCCAGACAGCCAGGAUGUUGGCUUAGAAGCAGCCAUCAUUUAAAGAAAGCGUAAUAGCUCACUGGUCGAGUCGGCCUGCGCGGAAGAUGUAACGGGGCUAAACCAUGCACCGAAGCUGCGGCAGCGACGCUUAUGCGUUGUUGGGUAGGGGAGCGUUCUGUAAGCCUGCGAAGGUGUGCUGUGAGGCAUACUGGAGGUAUCAGAAGUGCGAAUGCUGACAUAAGUAACGAUAAAGCGGGUGAAAAGCCCGCUCGCCGGAAGACCAAGGGUUCCUGUCCAACGUUAAUCGGGGCAGGGUGAGUCGACCCCUAAGGCGAGGCCGAAAGGCGUAGUCGAUGGGAAACAGGUUAAUAUUCCUGUACUUGGUGUUACUGCGAAGGGGGGACGGAGAAGGCUAUGUUGGCCGGGCGACGGUUGUCCCGGUUUAAGCGUGUAGGCUGGUUUUCCAGGCAAAUCCGGAAAAUCAAGGCUGAGGCGUGAUGACGAGGCACUACGGUGCUGAAGCAACAAAUGCCCUGCUUCCAGGAAAAGCCUCUAAGCAUCAGGUAACAUCAAAUCGUACCCCAAACCGACACAGGUGGUCAGGUAGAGAAUACCAAGGCGCUUGAGAGAACUCGGGUGAAGGAACUAGGCAAAAUGGUGCCGUAACUUCGGGAGAAGGCACGCUGAUAUGUAGGUGAAGUCCCUCGCGGAUGGAGCUGAAAUCAGUCGAAGAUACCAGCUGGCUGCAACUGUUUAUUAAAAACACAGCACUGUGCAAACACGAAAGUGGACGUAUACGGUGUGACGCCUGCCCGGUGCCGGAAGGUUAAUUGAUGGGGU